CCUACGGGCGGCAGCAGUGGGGAAUAUUGGGCAAUGGUCGCAAGCCUGAACCAGCAACGCCGCGUGAAGGAUGAAGGCUUUCUGGUUGUAAACUUCUUUUUUUGAGGACGAAACAUAUGACGGUACUCAAUUUAUAAGCCACGGCUAACUACGUGCCAGAACUCGCGGUAAUACGUAGGUGGCAAGCGUUCUCCGGAUUUACUGGGUGUAAAGGGCGAGUAGGCGGGACUGGAAGUCAGAUGUGAAACCCAUGGGCUCAACCCAUGGCCUGCAUUUGAAACUGUAGUUCUUGAGUGAGUGAGAGGCAGGCGGAAUUCCGUGUGUAGCGGUGAAAUGCGUAGAUAUACGGAAGAACACCAGUGGCGAAGGCAGCCUGCUGGACAUUAACUGACGCUGAGGCGCGAAGGCGUGGGGAGCGAACAGGAUUAGAUACCCGGGUAGUC
Molecule: ribosomal RNA, 443 nt
Filed under: uncultured bacterium
Lineage: Bacteria
Description: partial 16S ribosomal RNA
Rfam family: Bacterial small subunit ribosomal RNA
Source: RNAcentral